RNAcentral lists this long non-coding RNA (363 nucleotides) under Setaria italica (foxtail millet). RNAcentral describes it as "long non-coding RNA (SITA_LNC007304)". Lineage: Eukaryota; Viridiplantae; Streptophyta; Magnoliopsida; Poales; Poaceae. The record is from RNAcentral.
GCUCGCCCGCCCCCAUUUACAAACAGUGUUUAGGUACGCGCACACGUCCCCCACCCUGAUCACUGCCCUCAUCUGAUUUGUUAUCCAUAUCAUCCCUGCCCCGGUUCCCCCCACUUCCCCCUCUCCCGAGCCGACACAUCCCGACCAGCACCACGUCACCUGCCCGCGGGAUAACCCAACUAAUCGAACAGCGAUCGUUCAUCAUCGCCCAUGAUGACAUCCCGUUGGUUCCCCGGCCAGCCUUGGUCGGAAUUUCCAAUCAUGAUGGCCGCGGCCGAAUCGCCGCUCGACGACGCAUACGCAGGCGAUCCAUCUGCACCCCCGGGUGCGGGGCUCCGCUGGGCUCUUUUCUGGUUAGGCCCC